AACGCAAUAGGAGACGCAGGGAUGAACUAUGAAACCCUAAAACCCUCAACCUGCAUUGGAUGCUAUGUCUAUGAUCGAUCUGACUCAGGCAUCAACGAACGGUCUUCUCUGCGAUUCUUCAUACUCUGUUCCAGCAGCUCUACCUCCUUGGUUCCCCGAGCUCCCUCAAAUCAAGAUGCCACUAUCCUGUGCCUCUUCCCGGGUACCCGAGUUGCGGUUGCUGUCCUACCUUGCUGUUGCUUCCUGCAGCCGCUAUGAAGUUUCCUAGAGCCAUUAAGUCGAUGUUGCUACUUGCAUGCGUCCGCAGUAGCUAUGGCAAGCUCGAGCACCCACUCUUGCUUUAGUUAGUGAGGGAACUCGAAGCCUUUAUGAGCCUCUCGACAUUAGCUCGGGAGAAGUACAAAAUCCCGAAUUUAGCGGCAUGAUUAUGACUCUAUUAUUCCAAGGAUUCGAUGCUCAUGUGAAUGUUGUUGAUGAAAUGUGUGUCUUGAUUGAGAUGUGGCAUGAACCGACUUUUUAAUUGAAAUCGUCUUUUAAAA
This is a non-coding RNA of Punica granatum (pomegranate), 539 nucleotides long. NCBI's taxonomy places the organism in Eukaryota, Viridiplantae, Streptophyta, Magnoliopsida, Myrtales, Lythraceae. The record is from RefSeq and is a predicted model, not a curated record.